This 279-nucleotide ribosomal RNA is filed under the name uncultured bacterium. Its description in RNAcentral is "partial 16S ribosomal RNA". It matches the Rfam family "Bacterial small subunit ribosomal RNA", at positions 506 to 784 of the family's 1533-position model. The record is from RNAcentral.
UGCCAUCAGCCGCGGUAAUACGGAGGGAGCGAGCGUUAAUCGGAAUUACUGGGCGUAAAGCGCGCGUAGGCGGCUUUGUAAGUCGGAUGUGAAAGCCCUGGGCUCAACCUGGGAAUGGCAUUCGAUACUGCCAGACUAGAGUAUGGGAGAGGGAAGUGGAAUUUCCGGUGUAGCGGUGAAAUGCGUAGAUAUCGGAAGGAACACCAGUGGCGAAGGCGACUUCCUGGCCCAAUACUGACGCUGAGGUGCGAAAGCGUGGGGAGCGAACAGGAUUAGAUA